Molecule: ribosomal RNA, 274 nt
Filed under: uncultured bacterium
Lineage: Bacteria
Description: partial 16S ribosomal RNA
Rfam family: Bacterial small subunit ribosomal RNA
Source: RNAcentral
AUACGGGGGGUGCAAGCGUUAAUCGGAAUUACUGGGCGUAAAGCGCGCGUAGGCGGUUUGCUCAGUCGGAUGUGAAAGCCCAGGGCUCAACCUUGGAACUGCAUACGAUACUGGCAAACUAGAGUGUGAGAGAGGAUAGUGGAAUUUCCGGUGUAGCGGUGAAAUGCGUAGAUAUCGGAAGGAACAUCAGUGGCGAAGGCGACUGUCUGGCUCAACACUGACGCUGAGGUGCGAAAGCGUGGGUAGCGAACAGGAUUAGAAACCCUAGUAGUCC